GGAGCCUCCCUUUGGCUUUGGUGGACCUUAAGUCAGACCUUCAAUCUGCUCUGGGAUUUAAAAAUGACGACUCACCUUUGCAUACCUAUGAGGCAGCUGUCCACCAGAUGGCACCAGACAGCUAUCAGGAGCUGCACACUAAGAGAUUACAGUUACUGCAUUCCAUCCUUGGUGGAGAGUCAGCUAUGGUUGUUCUACAUGAAACCUACCGAAUCAUCGUUCCUUCUAGGGCGACCUUCUGCAGCUCCUCCUGGUGUUUUGAGUGGGGAACUCACACCAAAGCCAUCACGGUAAGGGCCGGAAGAAAGGAGAAGAGGAAUGCGAUGCUUAACUUUCAAGGACCACAGUGCUCUGUAACUUCCGCACCCAAUUUUGGCUCUGCUGAGCUGUGGCUUUGCUGCCCUCACCCAGCACUCGGUGUCACUGGUGCCCCUCCUGGGGGUGCAUCCUCACUGCCACCUUGCGUGUGACAGCCCCUGAAAUCCUGGGAUACAGCCUGCAGCGUCCUGAGGAGUCUCUCAGAUGGCCAAAAAGCAACCAAGGAGGAGGAUCUCCCAUCCAGGAUAUGGAAACUAUACAAGGAAAGGGAUAAAUUCCUGGCAGUGUGAUGCACAGACACAGCACUUAAACAUCUUUGUCCCAGGCAACUCUGCGGCUGUGUUACUUUGGCAUUUUGGUCUGUCUGAAGCAUGACCCAAAAGAGUCCCAAGCACCCCAACAUCCAUCUUACACGCUGAAAAAUUAAGAAUAUACUGGAACUUAAAUAUACAUGAUGCCAGGAGUUUCACUAA
Molecule: non-coding RNA, 791 nt
Organism: Anas platyrhynchos (mallard)
Lineage: Eukaryota; Metazoa; Chordata; Aves; Anseriformes; Anatidae
Source: RefSeq, a predicted model, not a curated record